UACGUAGGGUGCAAGCGUUGUCCGGAAUUAUUGGGCGUAAAGAGCUCGUAGGCGGUUUGUUGCGUCAGCUGUGAAAACCUGAGGCUCAACCUCAGGCCUGCAGUCGAUACGAGCAGACUAGAGUGUUGCAGGGGAGACUGGAAUUCCUGGUGUAGCGGUGAAAUGCGCAGAUAUCAGGAGGAACACCGGUGGCGAAGGCGGGUCUCUGGGCAACAACUGACGCUGAGGAGCGAAAGCGUGGGGAGCGAACAGG
RNAcentral lists this ribosomal RNA (253 nucleotides) under uncultured bacterium. RNAcentral's name for it is "partial 16S ribosomal RNA". It matches the Rfam family "Bacterial small subunit ribosomal RNA", at positions 524 to 776 of the family's 1533-position model. The record is from RNAcentral.